ACCCAGUUAGGAAGUGGUGGGAUAGGGGUUCUAACUCAGUUCUGCCUAAUCUAAUUCCUGAUUGUUUCUCCCAAUCAGAAUGCAGUCUGAAAUGAUGCUCUUUUUUAGCGCUGUGCUAGCAGGAAGGUCUGUGAAGUUUGCAAUAAAGCCAUUAUGAAGUCAAGAAUGGAGGUUCCAUUUUUAAAGAACUCAGAGGGGGUAGAUCUUGAUUGACAUCUCAUCUGGGGUCACCUGGUCUUCAACUGAGAGAUCUUUUGGUUCGCCACGGAUGCCCCUUGCAGUUAUGGAAGUUCACUCUUUGAGAGAGAGAUAAAUAAACAUUAAAAUGUAAAGAAAAAAAAAAUCAGCAAUGGAAGGAAAAAGGAACAAAAAGCAAUCCAUUGGCGUCAAGCUUGACUGGACCACUCCACUGCUCUGCUGCCGUUAGUGAACCUGACCCUGCAGCAGGAGUCACAGACUCACCACUCACCUCAAGUCCUCACUCCCUGGACCCUCAAUCUACACAUCACUUUGUCUUUUAUUUCCCUGAGAAAUACAGGCCAUCAGUUUGCAGAUCCCUCCUUUCCCCUUACCCUGCAAAUCUCCAUCUAUUUGGAAAAGUGUGCCUCCUACAUUCCAAAGCUAACCCCUCCUCCUCUGCCACUAAUAUCAGCCCUACCUGCCUUCUUCUGUAACUUGCUCCAUUAAUUCCCUCCCCUCUCCCCCAGGUCUCCCUGCCUAUGAACAUAUUCAAGGACAUCAUAUCUUAAAAACAAACAAAUAUCAGGCACAAUGGCUCACACCUGUAAUCCCAGCACUUUGAGAGGUCAAGGCAGGAGAAUCACUUGAAUCCAGGGGUUCAAGACCAGCCUGGGAAACAUAGGGAGACCCUAUCUCUACAAAAAAUAUUUUUUAAAAAAAUUAGCCAGGUGUGGUGGUGUGCACCUGUAGUCCCAACUACUCAGAAGGCUGGGGUGGGAGAAAUAUUUCAGCCCAGGACGUCACUGUGCACAAUUGCUUUACUUUUUUUUCCCUUGGUAUAGACUUGUUGAAGAGUAAGCCUUCAUGUACUGUUUCCUCACUUUACAUUCACUCUCAACUGGAGACAAUAUAGAGUCUUCGCAGAUGCAGCUUUCUCCAGACCAACAAUGUGGUUAGACAUCUGGUUUUUCAUUGUUGUUGUUUGAUUUCUCUGACUAGCUUCCCUGACCAGAGGUCGUUUUGAGUUUCCUUCUCUGGAAUUUGACCACUGAGCAGAGACACAUAGGAGAGAAGACGUGAAUGCUGAGUCAUCAAUCAGCAUCACUGGGAAGAAAAAGCCUCUCAGUUUCUUCUGCUGGGACUCCCAGAGCUGGAGUAUUUUCUGCUCUUCCUAAGGCCUGGUUCUUUGUGAUGAAACAAAUCCGCCUCAACCCAGAACACUAGCAAAGCGUGGGGUAAGGCAAAUAAGACUUAAAAAUUUUGAUGAUUUGUAGAAAACAGAAGUUCACAGUUCAGCAGUUCCUUCUUGCUUGGGAUGAUCUUCACAACACCAGCCCCCAAAUGGAAGGGUAACUAACUGCUCCAGUUCAGUUGGCUACCUUGUGAGGCUGGCAUCCAUUCCUAGCAAAAAUGGGCAGAAAUGGGGAAAUGCCUCCCCUUAAGACCAUAGCUUUUCACCUUGACCUUCCUCCAUUUUAUCUACUCCAGAAGGUCUCCACCAAGCUCCCAGCAGCACAGCAUGCUCAAAACCUGACAUAUCCAUGGUAACUUUUCACAGCAAUGUGAUGAAAUUUGAGAAACAAACCAGAAAUGUAAUGUGAUCACCCACAUCAUAUCAGCCUCACAGGCAAUCAAGAGCUUGGCUUCAAUUACAAAAUGAACUCCAGAAAUCUUCCAACAGUUAGUCAAUCCCAGCCUUUCACAUGAAAAUGUAUUUAAUUUACAUAAUACUGUGAAGAAGGUAUUGUUAUGAUCCUCACUUUGCAGCCUAUGGAAGUAGGGAUUAGUCCUUGAUGAAGAGUCAGAAGAUGUAUGUACUUUCAAAAGUGAUUUAAUAUGGAAACUGGAAAAAAAUUAUAAAACAUGUAAUGGAAUCCUAAAUAGGAUACUGAUAAGGUUUGGCUCUGUGUCCCCACCAAAGUCUCACCUUGAAUUGUAAUAAUCCCCACGUGUCAAAGGCAGGUCCAGGUGGAGAUAAUUGAAUCAUAGGGGUGGUUUUCCCCAUACUGUUAUGAUAGUGAGUUCUCAUGAGAUCUGAUGGUCUUAUAAGGGGCUUUCCCCCUUUUGCUCAGCACUUCUCCUUGCUGCUGCUGUGUGAAGAAGGAUGUGUUUUCUUCCUCUUCCUCCGUGAUUGUAAGUUUCCUGAGGCCUCCUCAGCAAUGCUGAACUGUGAGUCAAUUAAAUCUCUUUCCUUUACAAAUUAACCAGUCUUGGGUAUGUCUUUAUUAGCAGCAUAAGAACAGACUAAUACAGAUACCCAAAGUCAUUGGUAUUAGGACAAAGGAGCAGAAAUUCAUAAAGGAAAGACAGAGACACAGAGAGAUGGCUGACUUUUUUCUUAAUGCCAGGUUUUAGAAAUGAAAGUAUUUAAGGCUUUGAUAAUAUAUAUUAUCAAAUUAUAUUUCAAAGUGUGGUAAUAAUCUACAGUCCUUCCCAAAAGUCCUGAAAAUGUUUAUUUCAUUUCAUUAGAUAUGAUACAUUUAAAAGUCCUUAAACCUUGAUACACAAGAAUAUAUACAAAUAAUUUUGCACUUUCUUCAACAUUUUCUUGUAUGUGUGAUAAAUACAUUUCCUAUUCUGUGUAUUAUCAUUAUGGUUUUUAUACUUUUCAUGUUUUAAUAUUUUAAAUUAUUUUAUAACAAACGUAUUAACCUUUAAAAAGAAGACAAAUGUAGACUGUCUUUAAUUACAUUCUGCAUUAGAAACCAUAAAUAUUUUAGCAUUCAAAUUCAUGCAGUCGAGAAGAGUCUUAAAAAAUUCUGUAGGUGUUCAAAUGAAAAUAUAAAGAGAUUGGAGAAAAAUUGAUCUCAAGCAAGAGAGAGAAUAAAAAUCACUCGUAAGAAGUAUAGGUGUUCUCAUGGCUAAAUUUGGCAGUGGUGGUAAAAAUGGGAGGUGUAGAUAAGAAGAUUUCAAAUAGAAGAAAUAAUCAAGAAUAUAUCCUUAAAACGCUGAGUUGAAACAUAAAACUGAAAUACCAUUAUAUAGGUGAUUCUAUUAUGCAACCAGAGUUGAGAACCACAGAUCUCAUUGAUUUAUGCAGUCCUUUCCAUCAAGAACCCUCUCUGACUUUAAAUUCAAUGUAUCAGUACAUUGAUAUUUUAUCACAUCCACUUCCUUUCUGUCCGUAGUCACCUUGGAUGGACAGUUUACACAAUAAUUUGUAGAAAUAAUAAUAAUAAAAUAAUGUGGAGAAGAGUUUCCACAAUAAUUUUUGGAAUUUAAUGAUUUUGACAUUACACAUAGUCUUAAUGGUUUGAUAGAAACAAAUGUGUGACUUGAUAAAAGAUCAGCUGAUCUCAUGAAUUCUUAAACACAGCUCUUUAAGGAAUUUUUCCUUUUAUAAGGAAUCAUCAUCUUAGAAAAACAUUUAAGCUUUUAAUAUCAUUGGACUUGCUAUUAUUUUUAGUUUAUGAAUUUUUUUAAAAAAAUUAGAAAUGAAUUAAAAUUAAUGGCAGAAAUACCUUCAAAUACUUUCACACUGACUAAUCUGAAUGGGGUUAGGGACAGAUGACAGCAACUCAAAAUGACACAGAGGAAGAAACUUCAGACUUCCUGGGGAUUUUCUGGUAAACUCUGACUAAAAACUAACUCCUCUGAUUGUGCAGCAAUGUUCCCUGCUAACAUAGCCUUCCUUUUGGACUACCAGCUUUUUUUUUUUUUUUUUUUUUUGAAACAGAAUCUCACCUUGUCACCCAGGCUGGAGUGCAAUGGCAUAAUCUCAGCUCACUGCAACCUCUGUCUCCCAGGCUCAAAUGAUUCUCCUGCCUCAGCCUCCUGAGUAGCUGGGAUUACAGGCGCCCAUGGACUACCAGCUUUUUAAGUAGACUUUUUAGCCAAAGGCCAAGGGAAACUACCCUCUUCCUACUGGGGUUCAAAUUGAUUAAAAUGGUUUGCUUUGACUUUUGUUGAAGUCUCUUUAUUUUCUUUUUAAGAUUAUGUUAAAUUAUAAUCCACAUUGGCUUUCUUUUUACAGGUAAACUUUUUCUCUUCUAGAUUUCUAGACGGCCUUCCCCCACUUCGCUUCUCUCUCUGCCAUUUUCCUCCCCUCUCCCGCCUCCCCAAGUUAGAAGAGGCUGACAAAAAGAGGCUCAUCAAAGUUAAAUGUUGCCAACAUAAAUUGGUCCCUCUUCUCUUCCUUGAUGUGACUGGUCUCUCAACCUAUUGAUGGCAUCCAGUUCCAACUUUCCUCUUCUCAUUUGGGACAUUGGGAGGAGAGUAGUCUCUAUUUUUAAUAACAAAGUAG
This 4423-nucleotide long non-coding RNA is filed under the name Homo sapiens (human). Its description in RNAcentral is "HSALNT0042749". Lineage: Eukaryota; Metazoa; Chordata; Mammalia; Primates; Hominidae. The record is from RNAcentral.